CCACACCUAAAACUUUCCACGUGAACUGUCUGUAUUUGUUUUGUGUGUGCGCGUUGCUGGCGUGCGUCUGCUUUGCAUGAAUGUGCGUUGCGGGUGCGUGCUGGCGGUGCGCGGACUAAACGAAGGUUGGUUGUCUGUGCGUCUGCGGAUCUGCUGUGCUGAGCUUCAUUGUUUGGCGUGGCGGGUGUUGCGGGUGCUAUUUUGACCGGCUGACUUAUUUUUUCAAACCCCAUACCUAAAUGACUGAUUAUACUGUGAGAACGAAAGUUCUUGCUUUUAACUAGAUAACAACUUUCAGCAGUGGAUGUCUAGGCUCGCACAUCGAUGAAGAACGCUGCGAACUGCGAUACGUAAUGCGAAUUGCAGAAUUCAGUGAGUCAUCGAAAUUUUGAACGCAUAUUGCACUUCCGGGUUAUGCCUGGAAGUAUGUCUGUAUCAGUGUCCGUAAAUCAAACUUGCCUUUCUUCCUUCCGUGUAGUCGGUGGAGGAGAGUUGCAGAGAUGAAGUGUCUCGCUUUGGUUGGUAUAUUUUUAUACACACAGCUAGCGAGUCCUUUUAAAUGGACACGACUUUCUCUUUUUUGUAUCUGCGAGGUGCUGUGCCUGAACGCGGUGAUUUUCGGAUCGCUCGCGGCUGGUGGCGACUUCGGUGAAUGCGUUAUGGAGUGGACCUCGAUUCGCGGUAUGUUGGGCUUCGGCUGGACAAUGUUGCUUAUUGGGUGUUUGUUCCGCGUUCGCCUUGAGGUGUACUGUCGGCUGUGGGAUUGAUUUGUUAGUUGUSGUUAGUAGAGCGCGAUUCCUUGUCGUGGGUGCAUCUGUUGUGUAUGUAUUUACAUUYCAGAAGAGGAGUUUCAAUUUGGGAAAUUAGUGUACUGCGGGUUUAUCCUGCGUGUAUAUCUCAAUUGGACCUGAUAUCAGACAAGACUACCC
Molecule: ribosomal RNA, 929 nt
Rfam family: 5.8S ribosomal RNA (bases 290-444)